GAACGUACGCUGGCGGCACGCCUAACACAUGCAAGUCGAACGAAGUAGCAAUACUUAGUGGCAGACGGGUGAGUAACAUGUAGGUAUCUGCCCUUUGGCCUGGAAUAACACGAGGAAACUUGUGCUAAUACCGGAUAAGUCUUUACAGAGAAAGCUUUAUGCACCAUUGGAUGAGCCUGCACUUGAUUAGUUUGUUGGUGGGGUAAUGGCCUACCAAGACUGUGAUCAAUAGCUGAUUUGAGAGGAUGAUCAGCCACAUUGGGACUGAGACACGGCCCAAACUCCUACGGGAGGCAGCAGUGGGGAAUCUUGCACAAUGGAGGAAACUCUGAUGCAGCGAUGCCGCGUGAGUGAAGAAGGCCUUUGGGUUGUAAAGCUCUUUCGUCGGGGAAGAAAAUGACUGUACCCGAAUAAGAAGGUCCGGCUAACUUCGUGCCAGCAGCCGCGGUAAUACGAAGGGACCUAGCGUAGUUCGGAAUUACUGGGCUUAAAGAGUUCGUAGGUGGUUGAAAAAGUUAGUGGUGAAAUCCCAGAGCUUAACUCUGGAACUGCCAUUAAAACUUUUUAGCUAGAGUAUGAUAGAGGAAAGCAGAAUUUCUAGUGUAGAGGUGAAAUUCGUAGAUAUUAGAAAGAAUACCAAUUGCGAAAGGCAGCUUUCUGGAUCAUUACUGACACUGAGGAACGAAAGCAUGGGUAGCGAAGAGGAUUAGAUACCCUCGUAGUCCAUGCCGUAAACGAUGUGUGUUAGACGUUGGAAAUUUAUUUUCAGUGUCGCAGCGAAAGCGAUAAACACACCGCCUGGGGAGUACGACCGCAAGGUUAAAACUCAAAUGAAUUGACGGGGACCCGCACAAGUAGUGGAGCAUGUGGUUUAAUUCGAAGAUACGCGCAGAACCUUACCAACACUUGACAUGUUCGUCGCGACUCUAAGAGAUUAGAGUUUUCGGUUCGGCCGGACGAAACACAGGUGCUGCAUGGCUGUCGUCAGCUCGUGUCGUGAGAUGUUGGGUUAAGUCCCGCAACGAGCGCAACCCUCACUUUUAGUUGCCAUCAUUAAGUUGGGCACUCUGAAAGAACUGCCAGUGAUAAGCUGGAGGAAGGUGGGGAUGACGUCAAGUCCUCAUGGCCCUUACGUGUUGGGCUACACACGUGCUACAAUGGUAUCUACAACAGGAAGCAAGACUGCGAAGUUAAGCAAAUCCCUAAAAGAUACCUCAGUUCGGAUUGCACUCUGCAACUCGAGUGCAUGAAGCUGGAAUUACUAGUAAUCGUGGAUCAGCGUGCCACGGUGAAUGCGUUCCCGGGUCUUGUACACACCGCCC
Molecule: ribosomal RNA, 1322 nt
Filed under: uncultured Alphaproteobacteria bacterium
Lineage: Bacteria; Pseudomonadati; Pseudomonadota; Alphaproteobacteria
Description: bacterial SSU rRNA
Rfam family: Bacterial small subunit ribosomal RNA
Source: RNAcentral